CUCCGCCCCCGAGCUGUUUGCCUCUAUAAUUGGUGUGUUCAUAACACAUGGAGACGUGGGGGUGGGUACCAUAGUAGGCUCAGCCGUGUUCAACAUCCUGUGCAUCAUUGGUGUGUGUGGGAUAUUUGCGGGGCAGGUUGUUUUUCUCACCAAGUUUUCCGUGUUCAGAGACUCAAUCUACUACAUUUUAUCUGUGGUUGCCCUUAUUGCAUUUAUUUAUGAUGAAAAGAUUUUGUGGUGGGAGAGUCUGAUACUGAUUGUC
This is a long non-coding RNA of Sinocyclocheilus rhinocerous, 262 nucleotides long. RefSeq lists it as uncharacterized. NCBI's taxonomy places the organism in Eukaryota, Metazoa, Chordata, Actinopteri, Cypriniformes, Cyprinidae. The transcript is spliced from 5 exons. The record is from RefSeq and is a predicted model, not a curated record.